Molecule: ribosomal RNA, 497 nt
Filed under: uncultured bacterium
Lineage: Bacteria
Description: partial 16S ribosomal RNA
Rfam family: Bacterial small subunit ribosomal RNA
Source: RNAcentral
GAUGAACGCUGGCGGCGUGCCUAAUACAUGCCAGUCGAGCGAACGGACGAGAAGCUUGCUUCUCUGAUGUUAGCGGCGGACGGGUGAGUAACACGUGGAUAACCUACCUAUAAGACUGGGAUAACUUCGGGAAACCGGAGCUAAUACCGGAUAAUAUUUUGAACCGCAUGGUUCAAAAGUGAAAGACGGUCUUGCUGUCACUUAUAGAUGGAUCCGCGCUGCAUUAGCUAGUUGGUAAGGUAACGGCUUACCAAGGCAACGAUGCAUAGCCGACCUGAGAGGGUGAUCGGCCACACUGGAACUGAGACACGGUCCAGACUCCUACGGGAGGCAGCAGUAGGGAAUCUUCCGCAAUGGGCGAAAGCCUGACGGAGCAACGCCGCGUGAGUGAUGAAGGUCUUCGGAUCGUAAAACUCUGUUAUUGGGGAAGAACAUAUGUGUAAGUAACUGUGCACAUCUUGACGGUACCUAAUCAGAAAGCCACGGCUAACUACGUG